CCUAGUAACGGCGAGUGAAGCGGGAAGAGCUCAAAUUUAGAAGCUGGCAGCUUUGCUGUCCGCGUUGUAAUCUCUAGAGGCAUUUUCCGUGCCGGACCAUGUACAAGUUCCUUGGAACAGGACGUCGCAGAGGGUGAGAACCCCGUACUUGACAUGGCGACCGGUGCUUUGUGAUAUGCCCUCCACGAGUCGAGUUGUUUGGGAAUGCAGCUCAAAAUGGGUGGUAAAUUCCAUCUAAAGCUAAAUAUUGGGGAGAGACCGAUAGCGAACAAGUACCGUGAGGGAAAGAUGAAAAGCACUUUGGAAAGAGAGUUAAACAGUACGUGAAAUUGUCGAAAGGGAAGCGCUUGAAGUCAGUCAUGCGGUUCAGGUUUCAGCCUUGCUUCUGCUUGGUGUAUUACCUGGACGCAGGCCAGCAUCGGUUUUGCCUGCCGGAUAAUGGUGGGAGGAAUGUGGCACCCUCGGGUGUGUUAUAGCCUCCCACUGGAUACGGCGGGUGGGACCGAGGAACGCAGCACGCCUUGUGGCGGACCUUCGGGUACCUUCGUGCUUAGGAUGCUGCGUAAUGG
Molecule: ribosomal RNA, 569 nt
Filed under: Rhamphospora nymphaeae
Lineage: Eukaryota; Fungi; Basidiomycota; Exobasidiomycetes; Doassansiales; Rhamphosporaceae
Description: LSU rRNA
Rfam family: Eukaryotic large subunit ribosomal RNA
Source: RNAcentral